CUGAAUUGGGACAGAGUCACUAAGUUUGUCGUUUUUAGGAGUGUUACACUUCCCUUUGUCAGGCCUGUGAUGCGUCUUAAUAUCUGCUGGUGGAUAGGAAGUAUUUUUUGUUGUGGCACAAAUCACUUGUGUGCUAUCUUAUUGUAUAUGUACCAGAUUGUUGUGGAAACACUUUAAAGUGUUUGUACAGAUAAUACCUGAGUUUGUGUUUGCUAUAUUUCAUGCAAAGCUUGUAUAUAGAUUUGGUGUUUUGAAAGAUUUUAGACAUGAACAGUUUAUCUAAGUUCUAAAAACUAUUCAUUAAACAUGUUUGUGGUUUUCACAGUAAAAAUCAUAAUUUUCUACUGUCAGCUGGGAAGACUUCAGUGAGCCUCCAAACAUGGCUGCUGGUCCAUGGUCUGUGGUCUGUGACAUCACAGCGAGGCCACGAAGGCUGUCCAGAAUCCCAGGCUCCCACAACCGUGUCCUCCUUCUCCCUGGAUUUGAAGGACAGG
Molecule: long non-coding RNA, 494 nt
Organism: Oreochromis aureus
Lineage: Eukaryota; Metazoa; Chordata; Actinopteri; Cichliformes; Cichlidae
Exons: 2
Source: RefSeq, a predicted model, not a curated record